Molecule: microRNA precursor, 89 nt
Filed under: Canis lupus familiaris (dog)
Lineage: Eukaryota; Metazoa; Chordata; Mammalia; Carnivora; Canidae
Also listed under: 1 other name
Description: mir-8799 microRNA precursor family
Rfam family: mir-8799 microRNA precursor family
Source: Rfam by way of RNAcentral
CGGGGGAGGUCGGAUCCUGGGCUGUGUCCCGGCGCCCUGUGCUCCGGAGCCUGCGCUGUUGGAUUCGCGCUCCCGCCCCGCAGCCCCCU